UCCUCGCUCAAAGAAUCGCAUUCGGAGCACACAAACAGAGAGAUCUUUAGGGAUGUCUCGGCCAGCCAUGGCUACUGAUGCUUUGGGAGAAAGUCCCCGGACAACCUUUUCUUUUAAAGGACUGCGGAAACGCGCCGCCAUAGAAGCACCUUGCGGCUUCUCCUCUACCAAUUGCCCACCUCCUCCUUCGCACUCAGUUGCGCCCGGGUCUUGUUGGGAGGACCAUAUGGAUGAUGAUAUGAGUCCGAACCUCUUGCGCGACCCACAUGGCAGAUUGGGAGUGUAGGUAGGUGAUGAGGCCUGUCCUUGGAUCGGUGGGCAUGUUUUGGUAGUUGGAGGCUUUUCGUCGAGAUCGAUAGUUAUGCGAUUGUCCUCUAUGCCACUUGCGUUGCAUGGAUGAUAACUCGAUGGGGCUUAUUCUUGAUGCGAGG
RNAcentral lists this RNase MRP RNA (431 nucleotides) under Oidiodendron maius Zn. RNAcentral's name for it is "RNase MRP". It matches the Rfam family "RNase MRP". From Rfam's summary of the family: RNase MRP is an enzymatically active ribonucleoprotein with two distinct roles in eukaryotes. In mitochondria it plays a direct role in the initiation of mitochondrial DNA replication. Lineage: Eukaryota; Fungi; Ascomycota; Leotiomycetes; Myxotrichaceae. The record is from Rfam by way of RNAcentral.